RNAcentral lists this transfer RNA (30 nucleotides) under Diphasium jussiaei. RNAcentral describes it as "partial transfer RNA-Leu". The record is from RNAcentral. Lineage: Eukaryota; Viridiplantae; Streptophyta; Lycopodiopsida; Lycopodiales; Lycopodiaceae.
UUAAAAUUCGUUGGCUUUAUAAACCGUGAG